This 516-nucleotide ribosomal RNA is filed under the name uncultured Glomus. Its description in RNAcentral is "SSU rRNA". It matches the Rfam family "Eukaryotic small subunit ribosomal RNA", at positions 548 to 1068 of the family's 1831-position model. Lineage: Eukaryota; Fungi; Glomeromycota; Glomeromycetes; Glomerales; Glomeraceae. The record is from RNAcentral.
UUGGAGGGCAAGUCUGGUGCCAGCAGCCGCGGUAAUUCCAGCUCCAAUAGCGUAUAUUAAAGUUGUUGCAGUUAAAAAGCUCGUAGUUGAAUUUCGGGAUCAGUACGCCGGUCGUGCCUUCGGUAUGUACUGGUGUCACUGAUUCCUCCCUUCUGACGAACCGUUAUGCCAUUUAUUUGGUGUGGCGGGGAAUCAGGACUGUUACUUUGAAAAAAUUAGAGUGUUUAAAGCAGGCUCGCGCUUGAAUACAUUAGCAUGGAAUAAUGAAAUAGGACGUUUGAUUCUAUUUUGUUGGUUUCUAGGAUCGACGUAAUGAUUAAUAGGGAUAGUUGGGGGCAUUAGUAUUCAAUUGUCAGAGGUGAAAUUCUUGGAUUUAUUGAAGACUAACUACUGCGAAAGCAUUUGCCAAGGAUGUUUUCAUUAAUCAAGAACGAAAGUUAGGGGAUCGAAGACGAUCAGAUACCGUCGUAGUCUUAACCAUAAACUAUGCCGACUUAGGGAUCCGGAAUGAAAUGU